This is a long non-coding RNA of Cornus florida, 619 nucleotides long. RefSeq lists it as uncharacterized. The transcript is spliced from 2 exons. The record is from RefSeq and is a predicted model, not a curated record. Lineage: Eukaryota; Viridiplantae; Streptophyta; Magnoliopsida; Cornales; Cornaceae.
CUCUGCGUCCAGACCCUCUCUCUCGGCAGUUUCUCCUUUUUCUUAUUUAUUGCAAUUUCAAGCUUUGAUCUAGCUCUAUCCCUUUGAAAUUUGAUAAAACCUUGUGAAGCAAAGUCGGAGAGCUUGUCAAGGUCUUCAAUUUGAUAAGAGCCAAUCAUCAAUUGGUGCACUCUAGGGAGUUCAAAAUUCUAGGGUUCUUGGGCUUGGAUUUGGGGAUUUUGGGAGUUUUCACUUCCAUUGAGGACAUGGAAAAGAGGUGGCGGACGACGAUCUACCACGAUUCUAGACGAACACGGAGACCUAUUUUUAUUUUUUGCUAUCUUUUGUAUUAAAACUCUCUAAUAUUUUGUAAAUGUAAUAUUAACUAACUCGUAAAACUUUAGUUUAAUUAGUAUAAUGUUGUAAGCCAUGGACUUUUAAAUUCUAACUACGCUUUUUGGACUGUAACUUGAUGUAACCAAAGUAUGUUCCUUGUUGGAUGAGAUGGAGGAAUGGGAUUUUGUAUGUAUGUAGUCACUUUGGGGAUGUGAUAUAAUAUAUGUAUAUUGCGUUGGGACAGGAUAUGUUAGAUUUAAGGCCCAGUGAGGCCAUUGCAUUUAUUUAUUUAUUUAUUUAUUUU